Molecule: ribosomal RNA, 406 nt
Filed under: Euglesa globularis
Lineage: Eukaryota; Metazoa; Mollusca; Bivalvia; Venerida; Sphaeriidae
Description: partial 16S rRNA
Rfam family: Bacterial large subunit ribosomal RNA
Source: RNAcentral
AAUUUUGAGAUUAAAAUAUUAACAAGAAAUUUUUUUAAACGGCUGCAAUUAGUAGUUGUGCUAAGGUAGCGUAAUCAUUUGCCCCUUAAUUAGGGGAAGGUAUGAAUGGUUUGACGUGGGAAGAGCUGUCUCUUUUAUAUAAAAAGAAGUUUAUUUUUGAGUGAAAAAGCUUAAAUGGUUGUAAAAGACGAGAAGACCCUAUCGAACUUGAAUUAUGUAUUAAAUAUUUUUGAAUACAAAAAGUUUAGUUGGGGAAACUUAAAGUUAAAAAGAACGCUUUUUUGUUGUAAAAUGAUCCUGUAUUAUGGAAAAAUGAAAAAGUUACCGUAGGGAUAACAGCGCUUUCUUCUCUGAGAGGACUAAUUAAAGAGUUGGUUGCGACCUCGAUGUUGGAUUAAGGUUUCUU